RNAcentral lists this ribosomal RNA (491 nucleotides) under uncultured bacterium. Its description in RNAcentral is "bacterial SSU rRNA". It matches the Rfam family "Bacterial small subunit ribosomal RNA", at positions 817 to 1308 of the family's 1533-position model. The record is from RNAcentral.
UAGGUGUUAGACCCUUUCCGGGGUUUAGUGCCGCAGCUAACGCAUUAAGCANUCCGCCUGGGGAGUACGACCGCAAGGUUGAAACUCAAAGGAAUUGACGGGGGCCCGCACAAGCGGUGGAGCAUGUGGUUUAAUUCGAAGCAACGCGAAGAACCUUACCAGGUCUUGACAUCCCUCUGACCGCUCUAGAGAUAGAGUUUUCCUUCGGGACAGAGGUGACAGGUGGUGCAUGGUUGUCGUCAGCUCGUGUCGUGAGAUGUUGGGUUAAGUCNNNNAACGAGCGCAACCCCUAUUGUUAGUUGCCAUCAUUCAGUUGGGCACUCUAGCGAGACUGCCGGUAAUAAACCGGAGGAAGGUGGGGAUGACGUCAAAUCAUCAUGCCCCUUAUGACCUGGGCUACACACGUGCUACAAUGGCUGGUACAACGAGUCGCAAGCCGGUGACGGCAAGCUAAUCUCUUAAAGCCAGUCUCAGUUCAGAUUGUAGGCUGC